ACAUCUUUGCCUUACCAAACUAUAAACUGAGUGAGUAUGACACUACAAAUAUACUGCCCAAAGAAUUAUCCAAAAAAUAUUGAAUACUGUUUUUUUUCUUUUUGCCAGUCCUGGGACUUGAACUCAGGGCCUGAGCACUGUCCCUGGCUUCUUUUUGCUAAAGGUUAGCACUCUACCACUUGAGCCACAGUGCCACUUUCAGCUUAUUUUGUAUAUGUGGUGCAGAGGAAAAUUUUGAAGCUCCAUCACAAAGGGAGAAGAUGUGCUGCUAGUUUGUGCCUGUCACACCAUUUUAAGAGUGGUAAUUUAGGUGCAUAGCAGUAUAGGCGAGUGACAUGAAAAAAAAAAAAAAUCCUAUCCCAAAAUAAU
Long non-coding RNA from Perognathus longimembris pacificus (Pacific pocket mouse), 369 nucleotides. RefSeq lists it as uncharacterized. The transcript is spliced from 2 exons. The record is from RefSeq and is a predicted model, not a curated record. Lineage: Eukaryota; Metazoa; Chordata; Mammalia; Rodentia; Heteromyidae.